Non-coding RNA from Delphinapterus leucas (beluga whale), 329 nucleotides. Lineage: Eukaryota; Metazoa; Chordata; Mammalia; Artiodactyla; Monodontidae. The record is from RefSeq and is a predicted model, not a curated record.
CAGAAAACACAACCUUCACCAACCCUUGGAAGUUCUUCUCUGCUGAAAUACUUAACCCACUUUAUAUUUCAGAUCCGAGAAAGGAAAGUACCAACAGAAGAGACAUUCCCCAGAUACCCCUGGUGUUCACUGGCACUCCAUGUGAUUAGCAGCUACUGGAAAGUAGAUGUCCAUCACCUUCGUUUAGAUACACAGACUGUGGUGGGUAAGAACACAGGUCUGCACCUGACGGGAGCUUGAAUCUGGCUCAUUAUGAACUUAGUACCCGGGCCUCUCACUGUUGUGGCCUCUCCCAUUGCGGAUGCGCAGGCUCAGCGGCCAUGGCUCAC